GCACCCUUAGCUCAAUUGGAUAGAGCGUUAGACUACGGAUCUAAAGGCUAGGGGUUCGACUCCCUUAGGGUGCACCA
RNAcentral lists this transfer RNA (77 nucleotides) under Bacilli bacterium. RNAcentral describes it as "tRNA-Arg". It matches the Rfam family "tRNA". Rfam says of the family: Transfer RNA (tRNA) molecules are approximately 80 nucleotides in length. Their secondary structure includes four short double-helical elements and three loops (D, anti-codon, and T loops). The record is from RNAcentral. Lineage: Bacteria; Bacillati; Bacillota; Bacilli.